Molecule: ribosomal RNA, 481 nt
Filed under: uncultured bacterium
Lineage: Bacteria
Description: partial 16S ribosomal RNA
Rfam family: Bacterial small subunit ribosomal RNA
Source: RNAcentral
GAUGAACGCUGGCGGCGUGCUUAACACAUGCAAGUCGAACGAAGCACUUUAUUUGAUUUCCUUCGGGACUGAUUAUUUUGUGACUGAGUGGCGGACGGGUGAGUAACGCGUGGGUAACCUGCCUUGUACAGGGGGAUAACAGUUGGAAACGGCUGCUAAUACCGCAUAAGCGCACGGCAUCGCAUGAUGCAGUGUGAAAAACUCCGGCGGUAUAAGAUGGACCCGCGUUGGAUUAGCUAGUUGGUGAGGUAACGGCCCACCAAGGCGACGAUCCAUAGCCGACCUGAGAGGGUGACCGGCCACAUUGGGACUGAGACACGGCCCAAACUCCUACGGGAGGCAGCAGUGGGGAAUAUUGCACAAUGGGCGAAAGCCUGAUGCAGCGACGCCGCGUGAGCGAAGAAGUAUUUCGGUAUGUAAAGCUCUAUCAGCAGGGAAGAUAAUGACGGUACCUGACUAAGAAGCACCGGCUAAAUACGUG